Molecule: ribosomal RNA, 850 nt
Filed under: uncultured bacterium
Lineage: Bacteria
Description: bacterial SSU rRNA
Rfam family: Bacterial small subunit ribosomal RNA
Source: RNAcentral
CAGGCCUAACACAUGCAAGUCGAACGAGAACGGAUUAUAGCUUGCUAUAAUUGUCAGCUAAGUGGCGCACGGGUGAGUAAUAUAUAGAUAACCUGCCCUCUAGAAAGGAAUAACAGUUGGAAACGACUGCUAAUGCCCUAUAUGCCUUUAAUACAUAAGUAUGCAAGGGAAACGCUUUAGUGCUAGAGGAUGGGUCUGUAUGGUAUCAGCCUGUUGGUGAGGUAAUGGCUCACCAAGGCUAUGACGCCUAACUGGUUUGAGAGGAUGAUCAGUCACACUGGAACUGAGACACGGUCCAGACUCCUACGGGAGGCAGCAGUGGGGAAUAUUGCACAAUGGACGAAAGUCUGAUGCAGCAACGCCGCGUGGAGGAUGACACAUUUCGGUGCGUAAACUCCUUUUAUAUGGGAAGUAAUGACGGUACCAUAUGAAUAAGCACCGGCUAACUCCGUGCCAGCAGCCGCGGUAAUACGGAGGGUGCAAGCGUUACUCGGAAUCACUGGGCGUAAAGAGCGUGUAGGCGGGUAUAUAGGUCAGAAGUGAAAUCCAAUAGCUUAACUAUUGAACUGCUUUUGAAACUGUGUACCUAGAAUGUGGGAGAGGUAGAUGGAAUUUCUGGUGUAGGGGUAAAAUCCGUAGAGAUCAGAAGGAAUACCGAUUGCGAAGGCGAUCUACUGGAACAUUAUUGACGCUGAGACGCGAAAGCGUGGGGAGCAAACAGGAUUAGAUACCCUGGUAGUCCACGCCCUAAACGAUGCACACUAGUUGUUGUGAGGCUAGACCUUGCAGUAAUGCAGUUAACACAUUAAGUGUGCCGCCUGGGGAGUACGGUCGCAAGAUUAAAACUCAA